UACGGAAGGCAGCAGUGGGGAAUAUUGCACAAUGGGCGCAAGCCUGAUGCAGCCAUGCCGCGUGUAUGAAGAAGGCCUUCGGGUUGUAAAGUACUUUCAGUCGUGAGGAAGGUGUUAAGGUUAAUAACCUUAGCAAUUGACGUUAGCGACAGAAGAAGCACCGGCUAACUCCGUGCCAGCAGCCGCGGUAAUACGGAGGGUGCGAGCGUUAAUCGGAAUUACUGGGCGUAAAGGGCACGCAGGCGGUUAAUUAAGUUGGAUGUGAAAUCCCCGGGCUUAACCUGGGAAUGGCAUUCAAGACUGGUUAGCUAGAGUCUUGUAGAGGGGGUAGAAUUCCAUGUGUAGCGGUGAAAUGCGUAGAGAUGUGGAGGAAUACCGGUGGCGAAGGCGGCCCCUGGGACAAAGACUGACGCUCAUGUGCGAAGCGUGGGGAGCAAACAGGAUUAGAUACC
RNAcentral lists this ribosomal RNA (452 nucleotides) under uncultured bacterium. Its description in RNAcentral is "bacterial SSU rRNA". It matches the Rfam family "Bacterial small subunit ribosomal RNA", at positions 340 to 786 of the family's 1533-position model. The record is from RNAcentral.